UAUUGCACAAUGGGGGAAACCCUGCUGCAGCGACGCCGCGUGAGUGAAGAAGCAUUUCGGUAUGUAAAGCUCUAUCAGCAGGGAAGAUAAUGACGGUACCUGACUAAGAAGCCCCCGCUAACUACGCGCCAGCAGCCGCGGUAAUACGUAGGGGGCAAGCGUUACCCGGACUUACUGGGUGUAAAGGGAGCGUAGGUGGCAAGGCAAGUCAGAUGUGAAAACCCGGGGCUCAACCCCGGGAGUGCAUUUGAAACUGUCCAGCUGGAGUGCAGGAGAGGUAAGCGGAAUUCCUAGUGUAGCGGUGAAAUGCAUAGAUAUUAGGAGGAACACCAGUGGCGAAGGCGGCUUACUGGACUGUAACUGACGCUGAGGUUCGAAAGCGUGGGUAGCAAACAGG
This 397-nucleotide ribosomal RNA is filed under the name uncultured bacterium. RNAcentral describes it as "bacterial SSU rRNA". It matches the Rfam family "Bacterial small subunit ribosomal RNA", at positions 362 to 776 of the family's 1533-position model. The record is from RNAcentral.